AUUGAACGCUGGCGGCAGGCCUAACACAUGCAAGUCGAACGAGUGGCGGACGGGUGAGUAAUGUCUGGGAAACUGCCCGAUGGAGGGGGAUAAAUACUGGACACGGUCGCUAAUACCGCAUCCCAUCGGAUGUGCCCAGAUGGGAUUAGCUAGUAGGUGGGGUAACGGCUCACCUAGGCGACGAUCCCUAGCUGGUCUGAGAGGAUGACCAGGCACAAUGGAACGGGGACACGGUCCAGACUCCUACGGGGGGCAGCAGUGGGGAAAAUUGCACAAUGGGCGCAAGCCUGAUGAAGCCAAGCCGGGUUGAUUAAGAAGGCCUUCGGGUUGUAAAGGACUUUCAGCGAGGAGGCGUUACUCGCAGAAGAAGCACCGGCUAAAUCCGUGCCAGCAACCGCGGGAAUAC
Molecule: ribosomal RNA, 406 nt
Filed under: uncultured bacterium
Lineage: Bacteria
Description: partial 16S ribosomal RNA
Rfam family: Bacterial small subunit ribosomal RNA
Source: RNAcentral